UACGAAGGGUGCAAGCGUUGUUCGGAUUUAUUGGGCGUAAAGCGCGCGCAGGCGGAUAUGCAAGUCAGAUGUGAAAUCUCGAGGCUCAACCUCGAAACUGCGUCUGAAACUGUUUAUCUAGAAUCAUAUAGGGGGUAGGGGAAUUUCACAUGUAGGGGUAAAAUCCGUAGAGAUGUGAAGGAACACCGGAGGCGAAGGCGCCUACCUGGAUAUGUAUUGACGCUGAGGCGCGAAAGCGUGGGGAGCAAAC
RNAcentral lists this ribosomal RNA (250 nucleotides) under uncultured bacterium. Its description in RNAcentral is "partial 16S ribosomal RNA". It matches the Rfam family "Bacterial small subunit ribosomal RNA", at positions 524 to 773 of the family's 1533-position model. The record is from RNAcentral.